CUGGCUCAGGACGAACGCUGGCGGCGUGCCUAAUACAUGCAAGUCGAGCGGACAGAUGGGAGCUUGCUCCCUGAUGUUAGCGGCGGACGGGUGAGUAACACGUGGGUAACCUGCCUGUAAGACUGGGAUAACUCCGGGAAACCGGGGCUAAUACCGGAUGGUUGUUUGAACCGCAUGGUUCAAACAUAAAAGGUGGCUUCGGCU
RNAcentral lists this ribosomal RNA (204 nucleotides) under Bacillus subtilis. RNAcentral describes it as "16S rRNA. Bacterial SSU". It matches the Rfam family "Bacterial small subunit ribosomal RNA", at positions 19 to 219 of the family's 1533-position model. Lineage: Bacteria; Bacillati; Bacillota; Bacilli; Caryophanales; Bacillaceae. The record is from RNAcentral.